GCAAAAUCAUUUCAUCACGCUGCUGAAUAUAGUCGUUUCUUGCCGUAGUGGAAGAUCUCCUGCAUUCCCUUCAAGAACAUGCUUCAAUAAUCAGGACUUUUGCCAGCUAUUUCUCAAAUCUGCUUUGUGAUGACCAUGGAGGCCUUGGUUACAGUAUGUUGGAGGCACCUGACACCUUUUUGGAGCAGCUGUUCACACUUGUAUUGCAAGACACUCUGAAUUCCGAUCAGGCAGCAAGUGGCCCAUGCACAUCCUUUGCUUCCUGCCUCAGUGACCGUAUACAGUACAGGCACCUCCACCGUGGUGCUGUGAAGGAGUUCCACAGUGCAGAAAAACAUGCUUAAAGAUUAGAUUCGCUGGAUCGCUCCCUCAAAGGAAGCUACUGUGUCUCUGACAGCUGCCGGUCGCAGAUUUUGUGUGGAAUCACUGUCGCCAACACCUACUCUACUUGGAUUCACUCACACCCGAGCUACUGGAAGUUGAUAGAACAGAGACUGUUGUGCAAUCCUCCAGAGAAUGGUGCUGAAAGAGGAAGUCUACAUUGGAAUCUAUUGCAUUUUACAUUGGAUGAGGACUCGGGCACACCUUGGACCUCUCACAGUUGGCCUGGGAGUGUCAUCCUGGUGGAACUCGAGGAGGAAGCCAUGGACAAUAAUGUCUGUCUCUCCUGUUUAAACUGCUGUCCCCACAUGAGUGGAAGAAUACAAGUUUAAAUAGGUGGAUGGAUACUAAAUGCUGUCCAUGUGGCAUGUCACAAAUAAAGUAUCCUUUCAUUUCAUUUCACAUCUAACAUACAAUUCCAUUGCAACAUGCUGCCAAUUUUGUGUCUUUUUGUCUUGAGUUUGUUGUCACAUUUCUGUCGGGCCAAUUAUAUAGUACUUGUGCACUCACUGUAGUAGUCUCACCACGCUGCACUAUUUGCAUAUCUGUUGUUGACCAAUACUGGCCACUCAUGCCAGAGUAGCAUCUGCUCUAUUUGCACACUGACUGAGGAGAAUCUGCAACAUUUGCACAAUCAACAUUGUCCCAGACUAUCGUACUACUAGCUUGAAGUCUCGGCGCCCUUUGCACAAUGGUC
This is a long non-coding RNA of Phyllopteryx taeniolatus (common seadragon), 1078 nucleotides long. RefSeq lists it as uncharacterized. The transcript has 6 exons. The record is from RefSeq and is a predicted model, not a curated record. Lineage: Eukaryota; Metazoa; Chordata; Actinopteri; Syngnathiformes; Syngnathidae.